Long non-coding RNA from Polypterus senegalus (gray bichir), 246 nucleotides. RefSeq lists it as uncharacterized. The record is from RefSeq and is a predicted model, not a curated record. The transcript has 4 exons. Lineage: Eukaryota; Metazoa; Chordata; Cladistia; Polypteriformes; Polypteridae.
UUUAGAAAUCCUCAGACCUCAUCUGCUGAGACAAUCACCAUGUUUGCUGUGAAAGCAGUUUGCUUCCUUUCCACUAUCGCUUUGCUUCUUGCAAUGGCUGCUGCGGGAGCUCCGGAUAGGUUAGUCUGCCUACCAAACCUUCCCAUUUGUAUGAACCAGUAAAGAUGAAGAGACGUCAAGGAUCCACUGAAGCCUCAUUAAAAUCCCUGUGUAGUCAAAUUUUAAUAAAGUAGUCAUGCAUACCUA